Molecule: non-coding RNA, 462 nt
Organism: Camelina sativa (false flax)
Lineage: Eukaryota; Viridiplantae; Streptophyta; Magnoliopsida; Brassicales; Brassicaceae
Source: RefSeq, a predicted model, not a curated record
UGAAAAACCGAUGCAGAGGGCAAAGAUAGCAAAACCAGCUGGCUCUCCCACAAUCGUACUAUCUAACCGUUUUGAUCCUAUCCUAUCAGAAGAGAGUAGCUAGAUGCUAGACAAAGUGUAAGCCGAUCCAACACUGGAGCCUUCUUCUUUGGCCUAGCCUUCAAGAAAUUGACAGAGGAUACAAUUUCGGCAGAAACACAUGUUUUGAGAUGGAUUUAGUUGGAUACAGGACGCUCAUAAAGCACUUCUUCUUUGCUUACAAAUGCUUUAUUUUAGGAUGCAAUAUUUUACGGGUUGAGAUGCAGAAAGAGCCACAAAGGUAACUAAGAGUAGUUGAACUGGCACAAAUAUAAAUCAAUCAACCACACAACUUGUUUUAUAAACAAGUCUUAUAUAUUUUUUUGGUCUACGAACUCUUGUGUUCAAAACAAUAAAUCAGUGAACAAAUUGUUGACUUAAGUU